This 610-nucleotide small RNA is filed under the name Pongo abelii (Sumatran orangutan). RNAcentral's name for it is "processed transcript". The record is from RNAcentral. Lineage: Eukaryota; Metazoa; Chordata; Mammalia; Primates; Hominidae.
CGCCCUGGUCCAAGAUGGCGGAUGAGGCCACGCGACGUGUUGUGUCUGAGAUCCCGGUGCUGAAGACUAACGCCGGACCCCGAGAUCGUGAGUUGUGGGUGCAGCGACUGAAGGAGGAAUAUCAGUCCCUUAUCCGGUAUGUGGAGAACAACAAGAAUGCUGACAACGAUUGGUUCCGACUGGAGUCCAACAAGGAAGGGACUCGGUGGUUUGGAAAAUGCUGGUAUAUCCAUGACCUCCUGAAAUAUGAGUUUGACAUCGAGUUUGACAUUCCUAUCACAUAUCCUACUACUGCCCCAGAAAUUGCAGUUCCUGAGCUGGAUGGAAAGACAGCAAAGAUGUACAGCUGGGUCCAUGGCUGGCAGUGGAAAUCCCUGAUCUGAUUCAGAAGGGCGUCAUCCAACACAAAGAGAAAUGCAACGAAUCAAGCCAUUGAGGCAGGGCAGAGGGACCUUUGAUAGGCUACAAUACUAUUUUCCUGUGCAUCACACUUAACUCAUCUAACUGCUUCCCCGGACACCCUCCACCUCUAGUUGUUACUAAGUAGCUGCAGCAGGCAUUGCUGGGGGAGAAACAAACAAACACCAAACAGUAUUGCUACUUAGGUUCU